RNAcentral lists this ribosomal RNA (253 nucleotides) under uncultured bacterium. RNAcentral describes it as "partial 16S ribosomal RNA". It matches the Rfam family "Bacterial small subunit ribosomal RNA", at positions 524 to 776 of the family's 1533-position model. The record is from RNAcentral.
UACGUAGGGGGCAAGCGUUGUCCGGAAUCAUUGGGCGUAAAGAGCGUGUAGGCGGCCCGGUAAGUCUGUUGUGAAAGUCCAGGGCUCAACCCUGGAAAGCCGAUGGAUACUGCCGGGCUAGAGUUCGGAAGAGGCGAGUGGAAUUCCUGGUGUAGCGGUGGAAUGCGCAGAUAUCAGGAGGAACACCUAUAGCGAAGGCAGCUCGCUGGGACGACACUGACGCUGAGACGCGAAAGCGUGGGGAGCAAACGGG